AUACGGAGGGGGCUAGCGUUGUCCGGAUUUACUGGGCGUAAAGGGCGUGCAGGCGGUUCGUUAAGUUCGAGGUGAAAGCUCCCGGCUCAACUGGGAGAGGUCCUUGGAUACUGGCGGACUUGAGGGAGGCAGAGGAAAGUGGAAUUCCCGGUGUAGUGGUGAUAUGCGUAGAUAUCGGGAGGAACACCAGUGGCGAAGGCGGCUUUCUGGGCCUUACCUGACGCUGAGACGCGAAAGCGUGGGGAGCGAACCGGAUUAGAAACCCCUGUAGUCC
This 274-nucleotide ribosomal RNA is filed under the name uncultured bacterium. Its description in RNAcentral is "partial 16S ribosomal RNA". It matches the Rfam family "Bacterial small subunit ribosomal RNA", at positions 523 to 796 of the family's 1533-position model. The record is from RNAcentral.